GGAAUCUUGCACACUGGACGAAAGUCUGAUGCAGCGACGCCGCGUGGGGGAUGAAGGCCCUAGGGUCGUAAACCCCUUUCAGUGGGGACGAAACUGACGGUACCCCCCGAAGAAGGUCCGGCCAACUACGUGCCAGCAGCCGCGGUAAGACGUAGGGAGCGAGCGUUGUCCGGAAUUAUUGGGCGUAAAGAGCUCGUAGGCGGUUGCGUAAGUCGGAUGUGAAAUCUCGAGGCUCAACCUCGAGACGCCAUCCGAUACUGCGCUGACUUGAAUCCAGUAGGGGAGUGUGGAAUUCCUGGUGUAGCGGUGAAAUGCGCAGAUAUCAGGAGGAACACCUAUGGCGAAGGCAGCACUCUGGGCUGGUAUUGACGCUGAGGAGCGAAAGCAUGGGUAGCAAACAGGAUUAGAUACCCCCGUAGUCC
This 422-nucleotide ribosomal RNA is filed under the name uncultured prokaryote. Its description in RNAcentral is "bacterial SSU rRNA". It matches the Rfam family "Bacterial small subunit ribosomal RNA", at positions 358 to 796 of the family's 1533-position model. The record is from RNAcentral.